RNAcentral lists this small RNA (819 nucleotides) under Pongo abelii (Sumatran orangutan). Its description in RNAcentral is "processed transcript". Lineage: Eukaryota; Metazoa; Chordata; Mammalia; Primates; Hominidae. The record is from RNAcentral.
UGAAGCUUCAAGGCUGCUGAAUAAUUUCCUUCUUCCAUUUUGUGCCUGCCUAGCUAUCCAGGCAGAGCAGUUACCCUCAGCUCUAGCUGAUACUACAGAUAGCACAACAGACUCACUGGACGAAAGAAAGAUAAAAGGGGUAAUUGAGCUCAGGAAGAGCUUACUGUCUGCCUUGAGAACUUAUGAACCAUAUGGAUCCCUGGUUCAACAAAUACGAAUUCUGCUGCUGGGUCCAAUUGGAGCUGGGAAGUCCAGCUUUUUCAACUCAGUGAGGUCUAUUUUCCAAGGGCAUGUAACGCAUCAGGCUUUGGUGGGCACUAAUACAACUGGGAUAUCUGAGAAGUAUAGGACAUACUCUAUUAGAGACGGGAAAAAUGGCAAAUACCUGCCAUUUAUUCUGUGUGACUCACUAGGGCUGAGUGAGAAAGAAGGCGGCCUGUGCAGGGAUGACAUACUCUACAUCUUGAAUGGUAACAUUCGUGAUAGAUACCAGUUUAAUCCCAUGGAAUCAAUCAAAUUAAGUCAUCAUGACUACAUUGAUUCCCCAUUGCUGAAGGACAGAAUUCAUUGUGUGGCAUUUGUAUUUGAUGCCAGCUCUAUUGAACGCUUCUCCUCUCAGAUGAUAGUAAAGAUCAAAAGAAUUCGAAGGGAGUUGAUAAACGCUGGUGUGGUACAUGUGGCUUUGCUCACUCAUGUGGAUAGCAUGGAUCUGAUUACAAAAGGUGACCUUAUAGAAAUAGAGAGAUGUGUGCCUGUGAGGUCCAAGCUAGAGGAAGUCCAAAAAAAACUUGGAUUUGCUCUUUCUGACAUCUCGGUGGU